AAAAAAAAAAAAAACAACAACAAAUACACCAUUCUCAAAGCUACGUAAAUUUGCGGAAAUUCGUGAAAUUGUUGAAUUUGUGUGAAGUGUGUUUUACACCAAAUCGAGCGAAAUUAAUUCAAUUUUGAUUGAUAUUACGGUUGCGUUCUUAAUGGCAUCUAUAGCUGAACUUCGGUAUAAAGAUUUUUUAUUCAUAGAACAAUAAUUUCGUUCAAGUUUUCGAAUUAAACCGAAACGAGUGACAAGUGUUAACAAGAAAGUGUUAAGCCAUUUGCGAGAGACGCAAAUUUCUAAAAACUACUCUAACAAAGUAUCUGAGAUAACAGUUGUAUCUAGAUACGAGUGCAAAAUACAUUGUACAUAUAUAAAUAAGCUGAGACUAUUUACGUAAGCUGAUAUCUGCCAAGAUCUACAUACACUUAGAUCAACGUACAGUGAACACUCAAUUUCGCGUUCUAGUAUUAUGUUGGUCGUCUCUUCUCUUACUGCACCAACAACAACAACAACAACAACAAGCGGAGCGCGGGUCAUCAACGAGACCAACCUUCACAACAAGCGACGCGUCAACGUCAUGCAACAUUCGCCUGUCGUUGUCUUCAUGUGUAUGCAACAUUCGCAGCGGCAAGUUCCCAUGCUCAACAAUUCCAUGUGUAUGCGUAUGCGUGGCUGGCACAAUAAUUACGAUUACCAUUACGAUAGUUGCCUAUCGGUUAAGGGCAUCAAGUGCAGCACCACGUCCACAAAGACUCUACUAAAGCGCUCCAAGGGCUUGCGAAAGAAGCGCAACAUUAGCAUUCGGGGCAGCAUUUGUUGCCGAGGUUUUCGUUUUUGAAACAAACCAGCCACACAUCGAGACACCGAAAUCUUAAUUCGCAGCAUAAAACGGGAGUAAACGGACUAAAAGGAAAAUUGUUGCAUCGGAACUUGCUUGCCACACGCGGCAGCAUCAUAAUGAGCGUCUAAAAGGAAGUUGUGUCGACGACUCUUUUAGAGCUUGUUUAGAGUUUCCCUAACAAUUUCAUUGUUUCUCUCUAACGGUCAAUUAAAACCACGUUCAAAAUGGCAUUCAGCGUCGAAUUCCAAGCCAGCCAAAAUAGGCCCCACAGCGAAUCCAACAACAACAACAACAGCAACAGCAACAGCAGCAGCAGCAACA
This 1156-nucleotide small RNA is filed under the name Drosophila virilis. Its description in RNAcentral is "GJ25946". Lineage: Eukaryota; Metazoa; Arthropoda; Insecta; Diptera; Drosophilidae. The record is from RNAcentral.